AAGUCAACGACCAGCAGCGGCAAGAAAUGUCAGAGGUGGACAGUUGAUUCCCCACACGUGGUCGACGCCAUCUUCCGUGAUGAGAACAAUCUGACGUCAGACGUCACGCUUGGUGGCGCAUCUAACUACUGCAGGGGAUUCUGGGAUGGAAAGCCUCCAUGGUGCUACACAACAGACCCGUCGAGCGUUAUCGAGACUUGCGAUGUGCCGCAAUGUGAUAAUUUGUCAGUUUGCAAGACGCCACUUGAUCUGUUUGACGCAAUCCUCUCUGAUCGUCCCGACAACGAAACGGUCAUCUACCGCUGUAAAGAUGGAUUUAACUUCAUCAAGGGUUCGGGAGAAUCAAAGUGUCUGAAAACUGGACUGUGGUCAGUCCCAGACAUCUUCUGUGCACCCACAAGAUGCUAUUACAAACAUCACAAAUAUGGUUUUGUGUACGACGGCGAUGUCAGGGAAACAGACAGUGGAAUCACCUGUCAGUCGUGGUCUGUAGACUCUCCACACGAGCGAGAUAAUGUGUCUAAUAAGCUAUACAACCACGUCACUGUCAGCACGUGGGCAGAACUCUCCAAUUACUGUCGAGGAGUGAGAGGCGACUCAGGCAG
This is a long non-coding RNA of Gigantopelta aegis, 605 nucleotides long. RefSeq lists it as uncharacterized. Lineage: Eukaryota; Metazoa; Mollusca; Gastropoda; Neomphalida; Peltospiridae. The transcript has 3 exons. The record is from RefSeq and is a predicted model, not a curated record.